CGCUGGAGGGGUGGGGUAGAGGUUCUUAGGUUUGGUCUUCGGAAUCGGGGAGAAGAGAAAGCAGAUUGGAGAAAGACGGAAUUGAGGGAUUUGCCUCCCGCCCCCUCCCCUAGGCGACAGAGACAUCCCGGCAGCUGGAAGGGCACAGCCCCUCGCCCCGCGCUCUCUCAGCAGUUGCAGAAUCGGGAGAGCAGCCCCCGAGGCGGAGCCUCCCUUCUGCCCUGGUUACCGCUGCCCCCACCUGGGGGAGAGAGGCCGGCGCCGUGCUGCCUCCCUCAGCGCCCCGGCCGCGUGGCUUGCGGCUUAUUUUCCCAGCUGGCAAGCGUCGCGCUGCAGACAAGGGAAUGCCUGUGGUCCUGUGCGUUACGGAACUCAGACACCCCUCGAUACUGCCAAGUCCUCUCCAGGAGCGGAAGGGUUAAGAAUGAUGAGGGGAAAUGUCGAAGGAACAGGAACAUCCGAGCCUCGCAGAGCUGCCAGCGAAUUACGCCGGGAGCGGGCAAGUACCUUCCCAGCCCAUCUGAUCUGCUCUGGACCGCGCGAGUCACAUUGGGAUUUCCAACGCAACUGGGUGCUAGCUUUACUAAAGGUCCCCAACAGGCUCGGAACGCGGUUCCCAGAUGUGAUUGGCUGCGAAGGGACCCGCCGCCCGGGCGGCGAAGGGCCCCGCCGCACGGCUCUGAGUAAAAGGGCGGCUUGAGCUGGAGGGCCGGGGGCCGGGGGAGGGGAUGAUUAAAAAAAAAAAAAUUAGUAAAAAGUCUUGGGAGGAAUUUGAACCUGAUCACAUUAAUUCAAGGAGAGCUCAAAGGCCAGUUUCUUUACAACGAAGGCUAGAGAGAGUUCUAGUCGGAACUGUUUCUAUCGGAAAUCGCAGAGGGGGUGGAGAGGAGGAGAGUUGAGGAGGGAGCGGGAGAGAGGCUUGGUCCCGGCGAAACAGGACUAGCAGCCGGCAGACGCGGAACUCGAAUUACGCUGGGCUGGCUGGCCGCAGGAGGAGGUGUGGGGGGCGGGCUCUUUGGGCCCUACGACUGGCCGGCUGAGGCCAAAGCACCCGCCUCUCAGCCCAUGGAGCCGGAGGGGGGGGCG
Molecule: long non-coding RNA, 1086 nt
Filed under: Sus scrofa (pig)
Lineage: Eukaryota; Metazoa; Chordata; Mammalia; Artiodactyla; Suidae
Description: lncRNA (ENSSSCG00005030940.1)
Source: RNAcentral